RNAcentral lists this ribosomal RNA (179 nucleotides) under uncultured bacterium. RNAcentral describes it as "partial 16S ribosomal RNA". It matches the Rfam family "Bacterial small subunit ribosomal RNA", at positions 346 to 526 of the family's 1533-position model. The record is from RNAcentral.
AGGCAGCAGUAAGGAAUAUUGCGCAAUGGGCGACAGCCUGACGCAGCGACGCCGCGUGGGGGAUGAAGGUCUUCGGAUUGUAAACCCCUUUCGGGAGGGAAGAUGGGGCAGGUAACUGCUCGGACGGUACCUCCAGAAGCAGCCACGGCCAACUUCGUGCCAGCAGCCGCGGUAAUAAU